AACUUUGAGCAACGGAUCACUUGGCUCUCACAUCGAUGAAGAACGCAGCGAAAUGUGAUAAGUAAUGUGAAUUGCAGAAUUCAGUGAAUCAUCGAAUCUUUGAACGCACCUUGCGCUCCUUGGUAUUCCGAGGAGCAUGUCUGUUCGAGUGUUAUGAACAUUUCAACCCACCCUUUCUCACUAGAGAAGGGACCGGUGUUUGGUUCGUGGUCGUUCGUGCCGGCUGUUGUUUGCAGCAGGCUCGCCUGAAAUUAAUGAGCAGUUUCGUCUUUGGAAACUUGGCUUGACUUGGCGUAAUAAAUAUUUCGCUGAGGACAACCUCUCUCAUCGAGGUUGGCCAAGUUCUUUAGAGGAGGGCUUCUAAUGAAACUAUAUCAACUCUUUGACCUCGAAUCAGAUAGGACUACCCGCUGAACUUAAGCAUAUCAAUAAGCGGAGGCU
RNAcentral lists this unclassified non-coding RNA (441 nucleotides) under uncultured Basidiomycota. Its description in RNAcentral is "sequence contains ITS2". The stretch from base 1 to 154 matches the Rfam family "5.8S ribosomal RNA". Lineage: Eukaryota; Fungi; Basidiomycota. The record is from RNAcentral.